AUCCACUUAGAUUUUUCUUUAAGGAUGAGCUGUUAAAAGACGACGACCCUCCAUCAUGCUUCAUCUUCAAGUUAUCAGGAGCGUUGCUGAAGAACAUACUUCUUGAAGUUGUUCUUCAAGAAGGAGAUGCUGCCUACAUGACCCUGUCAUUGACCUGCUCAAGGUUCAGGGGCAUAGUUGGGGAUGACAAGUAUAAGAAUCAGGCACACUUCUUAUGGCUAGAAAGUAAAUAUUGACAUUAAAAAAUAAAAUGCAUAACAAGAACAUCUUUGAUAAUGUUAAAUGCUAUGUUAAUUUUUUUUCACCUCAGGUGUUACAUGCUGGAAAAAUAAGUCGUCUCGCUACAAACAGCUCUUCUGGAAAAUGUACUCAAUCUCCACUUGUUUGGAGUGUGGGUUUGAGUACAAAUGCUGCACACCUGGUUAUGCUGGGAAGGGAAAGCGAGGUGAGCUCCAGGGAAUUUAUUCAGAAACCUUCCACCCUGGAUUUUGCCGUUUUGAAUGCUUGCAGAUCAGUUCUAAUGAGUUCCUUACAAGUAACCACG
Molecule: non-coding RNA, 544 nt
Organism: Paramisgurnus dabryanus
Lineage: Eukaryota; Metazoa; Chordata; Actinopteri; Cypriniformes; Cobitidae
Source: RefSeq, a predicted model, not a curated record